RNAcentral lists this ribosomal RNA (1674 nucleotides) under Escherichia coli. RNAcentral describes it as "bacterial LSU rRNA". It matches the Rfam family "Bacterial large subunit ribosomal RNA", at positions 1271 to 2925 of the family's 2925-position model. Lineage: Bacteria; Pseudomonadati; Pseudomonadota; Gammaproteobacteria; Enterobacterales; Enterobacteriaceae. The record is from RNAcentral.
UGCUGGAGGUAUCAGAAGUGCGAAUGCUGACAUAAGUAACGAUAAAGCGGGUGAAAAGCCCGCUCGCCGGAAGACCAAGGGUUCCUGUCCAACGUUAAUCGGGGCAGGGUGAGUCGACCCCUAAGGCGAGGCCGAAAGGCGUAGUCGAUGGGAAACAGGUUAAUAUUCCUGUACUUGGUGUUACUGCGAAGGGGGGACGGAGAAGGCUAUGUUGGCCGGGCGACGGUUGUCCCGGUUUAAGCGUGUAGGCUGGUUUUCCAGGCAAAUCCGGAAAACCAAGGCUGAGGCGUGAUGACGAGGCACUACGGUGCUGAAGCGACAAAUGCCCUGCUUCCAGGAAAAGCCUCUAAGCAUCAGGUAACAUCAAAUCGUACCCCAAACCGACACAGGUGGUCAGGUAGAGAAUACCAAGGCGCUUGAGAGAACUCGGGUGAAGGAACUAGGCAAAAUGGUGCCGUAACUUCGGGAGAAGGCACGCUGAUAUGUAGGUGAAGCGACUUGCUCGUGGAGCUGAAAUCAGUCGAAGAUACCAGCUGGCUGCAACUGUUUAUUAAAAACACAGCACUGUGCAAACACGAAAGUGGACGUAUACGGUGUGACGCCUGCCCGGUGCCGGAAGGUUAAUUGAUGGGGUUAGCGGCAACGCGAAGCUCUUGAUCGAAGCCCCGGUAAACGGCGGCCGUAACUAUAACGGUCCUAAGGUAGCGAAAUUCCUUGUCGGGUAAGUUCCGACCUGCACGAAUGGCGUAAUGAUGGCCAGGCUGUCUCCACCCGAGACUCAGUGAAAUUGAACUCGCUGUGAAGAUGCAGUGUACCCGCGGCAAGACGGAAAGACCCCGUGAACCUUUACUAUAGCUUGACACUGAACAUUGAGCCUUGAUGUGUAGGAUAGGUGGGAGGCUUUGAAGUGUGGACGCCAGUCUGCAUGGAGCCGACCUUGAAAUACCACCCUUUAAUGUUUGAUGUUCUAACGUUGGCCCGUAAUCCGGGUUGCGGACAGUGUCUGGUGGGUAGUUUGACUGGGGCGGUCUCCUCCUAAAGAGUAACGGAGGAGCACGAAGGUUGGCUAAUCCUGGUCGGACAUCAGGAGGUUAGUGCAAUGGCAUAAGCCAGCUUGACUGCGAGCGUGACGGCGCGAGCAGGUGCGAAAGCAGGUCAUAGUGAUCCGGUGGUUCUGAAUGGAAGGGCCAUCGCUCAACGGAUAAAAGGUACUCCGGGGAUAACAGGCUGAUACCGCCCAAGAGUUCAUAUCGACGGCGGUGUUUGGCACCUCGAUGUCGGCUCAUCACAUCCUGGGGCUGAAGUAGGUCCCAAGGGUAUGGCUGUUCGCCAUUUAAAGUGGUACGCGAGCUGGGUUUAGAACGUCGUGAGACAGUUCGGUCCCUAUCUGCCGUGGGCGCUGGAGAACUGAGGGGGGCUGCUCCUAGUACGAGAGGACCGGAGUGGACGCAUCACUGGUGUUCGGGUUGUCAUGCCAAUGGCACUGCCCGGUAGCUAAAUGCGGAAGAGAUAAGUGCUGAAAGCAUCUAAGCACGAAACUUGCCCCGAGAUGAGUUCUCCCUGAGACUUAGAGUCUCCUGAAGGAACGUUGAAGACGACGACGUUGAUAGGCCGGGUGUGUAAGCGCAGCGAUGCGUUGAGCUAACCGGUACUAAUGAACCGUGAGGCUUAACC